Molecule: small nucleolar RNA, 139 nt
Organism: Tachyglossus aculeatus (Australian echidna)
Lineage: Eukaryota; Metazoa; Chordata; Mammalia; Monotremata; Tachyglossidae
Source: RefSeq, a predicted model, not a curated record
CCCCUCUCAGGAUCAUACCUGGAGAGUUUCCAGUACUCUACCAGUCUCGAAUACCAGAGGGAGAGUGAAAACAGAGGCACAUUCAUUCCAUUCCUAGCUUGGGCAGUGGUUAGCGAGUAGAAGGCAAUCUGCUUCAAGU